This 468-nucleotide ribosomal RNA is filed under the name uncultured bacterium. RNAcentral describes it as "partial 16S ribosomal RNA". It matches the Rfam family "Bacterial small subunit ribosomal RNA", at positions 28 to 507 of the family's 1533-position model. The record is from RNAcentral.
GACGAACGCUGGCGGCGUGCUUAACACAUGCAAGUCGAACGGAAAGGCCCUGCUUUUGUGGGGUGCUCGAGUGGCGAACGGGUGAGUAACACGUGAGUAACCUGCCCUUGACUUUGGGAUAACUUCAGGAAACUGGGGCUAAUACCGGAUAGGAGCUCCUGCUGCAUGGUGGGGGUUGGAAAGUUUCGGCGGUUGGGGAUGGACUCGCGGCUUAUCAGCUUGUUGGUGGGGUAGUGGCUUACCAAGGAUUUGACGGGUAGCCGGCCUGAGAGGGUGACCGGCCGCAUUGGGACGGAGAAACGGCCCAGAGUCCUACGGGAGCUAGCAGUCGGGAACAUUGCACAAUGCGCGGAAGCCUAAUGCAGCAACGCCGCGUGCGGGAAGACGGCAUACGGGUGGUAGACCGCUUUCGCCAAUGACGAAGCGUGAGUGACGGUAAUGGGUAGAGAAGCACCGGCUAACUACAGG